UAUGCCUACGGGGCGCAGCAGUGAGGAAUAUUGGUCAAUGGGCGGGAGCCUGAACCAGCCAAGCCGCGUGAAGGAAGAAGGCGCCAAGCGUCGUCCCCUUCUUUUGUCGGGGCCCGCCGGGCGCCCCGUGUGGCGUUGUGAGUGUACCCGAAGAAAAAGCAUCGGCUACCUCCGUGCCAGCAGCCGCGGCAAUACGGCGGCUGCGAGCGUUAUCCGGCUUUCUUGGGUUUCACGGGUGCGUCGGCGGUC
This 249-nucleotide ribosomal RNA is filed under the name uncultured bacterium. RNAcentral's name for it is "partial 16S ribosomal RNA". It matches the Rfam family "Bacterial small subunit ribosomal RNA", at positions 334 to 580 of the family's 1533-position model. The record is from RNAcentral.